Asterophora parasitica is the source of this 83-nucleotide non-coding RNA. NCBI's taxonomy places the organism in Eukaryota, Fungi, Basidiomycota, Agaricomycetes, Agaricales, Lyophyllaceae. The record is from the annotation of a GenBank genome assembly.
GUCUCGAUAGCUCAGUGGUAGAGCAUGCGAUUGCAGUACUGCAAUUCAUCGCAGGGUCCGGUGUUCGAACCACCGUCGUGACU